AUUGAACGCUGGCGGCAUGCUUUACACAUGCAAGUCGAACGGUAACAGGCCGCAAGGUGCUGACGAGUGGCGAACGGGUGAGUAAUGCAUCGGAACGUGCCCAGUCGUGGGGGAUAACUACUCGAAAGAGUAGCUAAUACCGCAUACGAUCUAUGGAUGAAAGCGGGGGACCGUAAGGCCUCGCGCGAUUGGAGCGGCCGAUGUCAGAUUAGGUAGUUGGUGGGGUAAAGGCUCACCAAGCCAACGAUCUGUAGCUGGUCUGAGAGGACGACCAGCCACACUGGGACUGAGACACGGCCCAGACGCCUACGGGAGGCAGCAGUGGGGAAUUUUGGACAAUGGGCGCAAGCCUGGUCCAGCAAUGCCGCGUGCAGGAAGAAGGCCUUCGGGUUGUAAACUGCUUUUGUACGGAACGAAACGGCUCUGGUUAAUACCCGGGGCUAAUGACGGUACCGUAAGAAUAAGCACCGGCUAACUACGUG
This 482-nucleotide ribosomal RNA is filed under the name uncultured bacterium. RNAcentral's name for it is "partial 16S ribosomal RNA". It matches the Rfam family "Bacterial small subunit ribosomal RNA", at positions 30 to 507 of the family's 1533-position model. The record is from RNAcentral.